GCUUGCUUUCUGGAUCAGUGGCGAACGGGUGAGUAACACGUGAGCAAUCUGCCCCUGACUCUGGGAUAACAGUUGGAAACAGCUGCUAAUACUGGAUACGAACUGCGAUCGCAUGGUCGGCAGUUGGAAAGAAUUUCGGUCAGGGAUGAGCUCGCGGCCUAUCAGCUUGUUGGUGAGGUAAUGGCUCACCAAGGCGUCGACGGGUAGCCGGCCUGAGAGGGUGACCGGCCACACUGGGACUGAGACACGGCCCAGACUCCUACGGGAGGCAGCAGUGGGGAAUAUUGCACAAUGGGCGGAAGCCUGAUGCAGCAACGCCGCGUGAGGGAUGACGGCCUUCGGGUUGUAAACCUCUUUUAGCAGGGAAGAAGCGAAAGUGACGGUACCUGCAGAAAAAGCGCCGGCUAACUACGUGCCAAGC
Molecule: ribosomal RNA, 421 nt
Filed under: Microbacterium sp.
Lineage: Bacteria; Bacillati; Actinomycetota; Actinomycetes; Micrococcales; Microbacteriaceae
Description: bacterial SSU rRNA
Rfam family: Bacterial small subunit ribosomal RNA
Source: RNAcentral